Cebus imitator (Panamanian white-faced capuchin) is the source of this 102-nucleotide long non-coding RNA. RefSeq lists it as uncharacterized. The transcript is spliced from 3 exons. Lineage: Eukaryota; Metazoa; Chordata; Mammalia; Primates; Cebidae. The record is from RefSeq and is a predicted model, not a curated record.
AUUAAACACGUAUUUAUUAACAGCAUGCCUAAUUCUGUGGAAACCUGACUUGAACCCUCGUCAUUCUGACUCUUGGGGCAUCACAAUAAGGACAGACUGCCU